UACGAAGGGGGCUAGCGUUGUUCGGAAUCACUGGGCGUAAAGCGCACGUAGGCGGAUCUUUAAGUCAGAGGUGAAAUCCCAAGGCUCAACCUUGGAACUGCCUUUGAUACUGGGGAUCUUGAGUCCGGGAGAGGUGAGUGGAACUGCGAGUGUAGAGGUGAAAUUCGUAGAUAUUCGCAAGAACACCAGUGGCGAAGGCGGCUCACUGGCCCGGUACUGACGCUGAGACGCGAAAGCGUGGGGAGCAAACAGG
RNAcentral lists this ribosomal RNA (253 nucleotides) under uncultured bacterium. RNAcentral's name for it is "partial 16S ribosomal RNA". It matches the Rfam family "Bacterial small subunit ribosomal RNA", at positions 524 to 776 of the family's 1533-position model. The record is from RNAcentral.